GACAAACGCUGGCGGCGUGCUUAACACAUGCAAGUCGAACGGUCACUCUACGGAGUGAUAGUGGCGGACGGGUGAGUAACACGUAGUCAACCUACCCUAAAGUGGGGAAUAACCCCUCGAAAGAGGAGCUAAUACCGCAUACGCUCUCUGGUGAUAGCUAGAGAGGAAACGAUAGCAGUGACACGCUAUGGGCUUUAGGAUGGGGACUUCGGCGGA
RNAcentral lists this ribosomal RNA (216 nucleotides) under uncultured bacterium. Its description in RNAcentral is "partial 16S ribosomal RNA". It matches the Rfam family "Bacterial small subunit ribosomal RNA", at positions 28 to 240 of the family's 1533-position model. The record is from RNAcentral.